This 182-nucleotide ribosomal RNA is filed under the name Rhizophagus irregularis. Lineage: Eukaryota; Fungi; Glomeromycota; Glomeromycetes; Glomerales; Glomeraceae. The record is from RNAcentral.
CAGUCGUACCUGCGGAUAAUCAGCCUUUCGGGUGCGAUUCUGUGAGGCGUGAGGAGCUUAACCGCCUUCAUGUUUUGCAUAUUCGUGCGCAUUUGGUGUACUUGUCCGUGUGGUGGGUUAACAUCAAUUUCGGCCGUCAUAAAAUGAUUGAAGGAAUGUAGCUUCGAUCUCGUAUUGAAGUG